This 450-nucleotide ribosomal RNA is filed under the name uncultured bacterium. RNAcentral describes it as "partial 16S ribosomal RNA". It matches the Rfam family "Bacterial small subunit ribosomal RNA", at positions 354 to 796 of the family's 1533-position model. The record is from RNAcentral.
GUGGGGAAUAUUGGACAAUGGGCGAAAGCCUGAUCCAGCCAUGCCGCGUGUGUGAAGAAGGUCUUCGGAUUGUAAAGCACUUUAAGUUGGGAGGAAGGGCAGUAAGUUAAUACCUUGCUGUUUUGACGUUACCGACAGAAUAAGCACCGGCUAACUUCGUGCCAGCAGCCGCGGUAACACGAAGGGUGCAAGCGUUAAUCGGAAUUACUGGGCGUAAAGCGCGCGUAGGUGGUUUUGUAAGUAGGAGGUGAAAUCCACGGGCUCAACCUGGGAACGGCCUCCAAAACUGCAUGACUAGGUUACGGUAGAGGGUAGUGGAAUUUCCUGUGUAGCGGUGAAAUGCGUAGAUAUAGGAAGGAACACCAGUGGCGAAGGCGACUACCUGGACUGAUACUGACACUGAGGUGCGAAAGCGUGGGGAGCAAACAGGAUUAGAUACCCGAGUAGUCC